CCCUUAGAUGUUCUGGGCCGCACGCGCGCUACACUGAUGCAUUCAACGAGUCUAAAACCUGGUCUGAUAGGGCUGGGUAAUCUUUUGAAAGUGCAACGUGAUUGGGAUAGAUGAUUGCAAUUCUUCAUCUUCAACGAGGAAUGCCUAGUAAACGCAAGUCAUCAGCUUGCAUUGAUUACGUCCCUGCCCUUUGUACACACCGCCCGUCGCUCCUACCGAUUGAAUGAUCCGAUGAAUACCAUGGAUUGAGAGUACGAAUGGGUUCGCUCAUUUCUGCUGCUCGAGAAGUGGAGUAAAUCUUAUCAUUUAGAGGAAGGAGAAGUCGUAACA
This 330-nucleotide ribosomal RNA is filed under the name uncultured eukaryote. RNAcentral's name for it is "partial 18S ribosomal RNA". It matches the Rfam family "Eukaryotic small subunit ribosomal RNA", at positions 1470 to 1796 of the family's 1831-position model. The record is from RNAcentral.